Molecule: ribosomal RNA, 512 nt
Filed under: uncultured bacterium
Lineage: Bacteria
Description: partial 16S ribosomal RNA
Rfam family: Bacterial small subunit ribosomal RNA
Source: RNAcentral
GAUGAACGCUGGCGGCGUGCCUAAUACAUGCCAGUCGAACGAAACUUCUUUAUCACCGAGUGCUUGCACUCACCGAUAAAGAGUUGAGUGGCGAACGGGUGAGUAACACGUGGGCAACCUGCCCAAAAGAGGGGGAUAACACUUGGAAACAGGUGCUAAUACCGCAUAACCAUAGUUACCGCAUGGUAACUAUGUAAAAGGUGGCUAUACUACCGCUUUUGGAUGGGCCCGCGGCGCAUUAGCUAGUUGGUAGGGUAAAGGCUUACCAAGGCAAUGAUGCGUAGCCGAAUUGAGAGGGUGAUCGGCCACAUUUGGACUGAGACACGGCCCAAACUCCUACGGGAGGCAGCAGUAGGGAAUCUUCCACAAUGGGCGAAAGCCUGAUGGAGCAACGCCGCGUGGGUGAAGAAGGUCUUCGGAUCGUAAAACCCUGUUGUUAGAGAAGAAAGUGCGUGAGAGUAACUGUUCACGUUUCGACGGUAUCUAACCAGAAAGCCACGGCUAACUACGUG